GGAGAAGAUGAAACGG
RNAcentral lists this small RNA (16 nucleotides) under Arabidopsis thaliana (thale cress). Its description in RNAcentral is "ATSL112350". Lineage: Eukaryota; Viridiplantae; Streptophyta; Magnoliopsida; Brassicales; Brassicaceae. The record is from RNAcentral.